RNAcentral lists this transfer RNA (73 nucleotides) under Candidatus Nealsonbacteria bacterium CG_4_10_14_0_2_um_filter_35_20. RNAcentral describes it as "tRNA-Val". It matches the Rfam family "tRNA". Rfam says of the family: Transfer RNA (tRNA) molecules are approximately 80 nucleotides in length. Their secondary structure includes four short double-helical elements and three loops (D, anti-codon, and T loops). The record is from RNAcentral. Lineage: Bacteria; Candidatus Nealsoniibacteriota. RNAcentral also lists the same sequence under 4 other names.
GGGCGCUUGGCGCAGUGGCUAGCGCGCCUGCUUUACACGCAGGAGGUCAGAGGUUCAAAUCCUCUAGCGCCCA